Rhea pennata is the source of this 6474-nucleotide RNA transcript. RefSeq lists it as uncharacterized. Lineage: Eukaryota; Metazoa; Chordata; Aves; Rheiformes; Rheidae. The transcript is spliced from 13 exons. The record is from RefSeq and is a predicted model, not a curated record.
UCCGCCCGUCCCGUAAGGAGCCGGCUCCGCUCUGCGGCUGAAAGAUCUGUUUUGGCUGCGGGGCGAGGAGCGCGCACCCAGCGCCGCCGCGACGGGGCUCCGCGAGUGGGUGAGCGAGCGAGCGGGCCCGGCGGGGGGCAGGGGGCCGCGCGAGCUGCGCUCCCCGUGGGAGGCUCGGCACUCCCCUCCCCGCUCCUUCUAGGCGGCCCCACGCUGCUCUCGAUGGAUUAAGUAAAUAUUUGCAGGCAACAGGACUGGGAAACUGAGCAAGCCCUUCUGGUGGUGUUCAUGCAGGUCGUAAACAUCACUGCCCCUCUUCCGUCCCUCUUUCCCUUGCUGUUCGCGCCCUCCGACGUCCCGCUCCCCUCCCCUCUCCCGCUCCGCCACCCGCUUACAGCGCUGCUCAGAGAUCAUUUCCGUUUGCUGCCAGUUUUCCAGCCGGGGCCUCCUGAGCCCGCAGGCCGCCAGCAGCGCCAGGCUGGGAGAAGGGUGGCGCCCGGCUGAAACCCUCUUGCCCGUGGAGGAGCUCGUCACAGCGCUCCUGGUCGCGGUGGAGGUCUUUGACACACGCGCUUUUGGAUACUUGCUACCCCUGAACUCUCCAUCUUUGCUGCUGCGCUUCAUUUGUCUGUCCUGAUCAUAACGUGCAAAGAACGUCUGCAUUUAGGAGGAGAGAGGACUUCCCGGUUACUCAAACUGGCAUGUAAACCUGCUUUUCUCAAAAUAGCUGGCACACCGGCUGAUUUCAUUUCGGCUAUUCUCGCUUUUGCUACAAGGUUAGCUUGCUGUGAACUUAAAAGGAGAGGUUGUCAAAUUUUGCAUUCUGGUGGAAAACAGCGCGGCUUCACAAUCCUGCUGCUUACGGAAGACAGGCUUUUUGUCUGAAUAUAUUUUUUCUUUCUUCAGUGGUGAUCAUUACUGCACGGCGACGUGGCUGCCUGCGGGACGAUAACAGAGCUGAAGAAGUCAGGAACACACGUGCUCCCGCUGAUCGCUCGGGUGGUCUUCUCGGGCGGCCGCUGCUUUGGCUUGCCCCUUCUGCAAAGCCCCGUUUUUUUUCAGAUUUUUGUCAAGAACGUCUAUGUACAAGCUAAAUGACAUAAAUAACCGUAGCGGUUAUUAGAGGAAAGUGGGAGCCAAGCAGCGGUGUGCCAGAGACCGUUGAAUCCAAUUGCACUUCCUGGAAAAGGCAUUUCUGCACAGAUCUGGAUUUGUUUGGAAAAAAGAAAUUUCUCCAUCGCUGCGGAUCUUAAAUGGCAUCUGGUUUCUCCACGACUGUUGUUCUAAGCUCCUUGUAACCUAUAAAAUAAAACAUAACUCUUAAUUUCCCGUAAAAAGCCAAAGUCAUUUCCUGCCCAAACAGCUGCAUGUGAGUCUACCAGAGAAAACAGUCAAAAGGGUAUUUGUGCAUCAACAGGUGUUUUGCAGAGGGAAAGAAGACAAUUUCCUAAUUUUAUUUUUUUUUCCACCAAUUGACCUUUUGGCUAAUGAACAAAUAAAACAUGAAAAAAUGCCACAACAUAAAUUACCAUUUUUUUCAUAUACUCCAAAUACCUGCUGACCUAGGAACACCAUAACGAAGAGUUAAUUGCAAAACACUGUCCAAGCAAUUAAGGCUCCACUGAAGUCGCACAUGGAGCCUAGGCGCUGAAGGCAAUAUAUUCAAACAGAAAACUGUACGUAUGUAACUGCAGCGCUAAUGCCUGCAGCAGUUGGACAUGCUGUGAAUGCUUCUGACUGCGGAGACGUCCCUGGGCUGUAGGUCACCGUUGCAGAGCCAAAUAAAACUUUAUUCUCUUCCCUGGGGUUUUGGCCACUCUUGGAGGUGGGACGUAGCCCCUGGGCUGAUCCUGGGCCAGCCUGUCAUGCCUACCACGGCCCUCUCCGGAGCGAGUCGCUACCGAAUGUGUUCGUCCAUGCUGCAGUUCCUCGUGCUGCUUUGAACGUGCCCGUGAGUCUCCACCAUGUCGACACCGCUCCACUCGGCUGUUGCAGGCUGUGAGUACGAGGCCGGUGCCCCGGUUCAGAGGGGCGCUUGUGCGGUGAGUGCAUUUCACACAUCCCUUGUUCAGACUGUGCCGCACACCAGGUACUGCAGAGCAGCCCUCCUGCUCUACUGGAUCCUGGAGAGUUUGAGAGCACCCGUUUCCAGCAUUUCUGUGCUCUCUUUGCUUCAGUUCUCUGACAUGGGCCCCAGGGAGCCAUCCAUAGCUUCCUCACUGAGGGUUACAGCCUGGCAGGCUGCACAGGGCAGGUGCCUCCCUCCCAGUGAUCUCAAAUGCUUCAGCAUGACAGUCCCUGAAUAUUACUGCCACCUCUUAUGAGGCAGUGGUCCUCUAUUGCAUGCCUAAGGAUUGCUUUCCUGAGAGUCUCUCCAAGGCCACCACAGUUUCCUUUUCUACUCUCUGACCAUAAUGUAUCCCCUGGUACCCUCCUGCGAGUGUCUCCAAGCCUCCUCUCCUUCAUCUUUCCUCCAUGCUCAGACCAGAGCUUUCUUUUCAGUACCUCUUUAGCAACCAGUCUAACCCAAAGCAGCUCCAGAAUAAUAGCUCAGGCAGGUUUGGGGGCUGGAGCUGGUGGAUGUGACUUUUUGCUCACCGAGGCUUUUUAUGCCAGCAGUUCUGCAGCAGGAUAUACAUGCCUCCAUUUGGUAUAGCCAAGGGUCACGCUUACAGAAUGAUCUCCACAUUAGCUUCAUUUUCCCAUCCGUUCGUUGGUGGAAAAUGGAAAACAUUUUCAAGACAAAUGCCCUUUUGUGAGAGCCUUUUUCUGAUUUCUCUGAAUAUCAAGAGCAGCUCAUUUGCCUGGCAUUUGCACCACAGAGCUGUUGUGUGACUCAGAAAUGCCAGUAAGUGUGUUAAUAUGUGGGUCUAAGAUUCCCAUUGGUUUCAUUCCAAAGGGCAAGGAAGCAUCUUAACCAGCUAACAAGCAUCUACAUAACAUGUGCACAAACAUUUUACAGUUUUUCUCAUAAAAAAGGAGGAAAGAAGUCAGAUGUGUGGUAUAAAAUGCUUCAGAAAAACACUUGAGACCUUGUGCAAAAAUUGCCCUUUGGCUUGUAUUUCACCACUAACUUAUCCUUCUCUGGCAUCUCUUCUCUCCUCAGACCUAUUUUUAAUUUUGCAAUGGACUUGUGCAGCAGUGGAAAUCACAGAAAGAAGAGGUGUAGCCGAAGGAUCCUCUGUGCUGUUGUGUGCGCCAGAUACCAAGAACGCAAACAUCAUUGAGUGGGAACACAUAAAAAACACCAGUUCUGAAUUCAUCCUGCAGUACUACGCAGAUUCACAGUCUCCAACUAUCUACCCGGCUUACCAAGGCAGAGUGAUUUUCUAUCCAGAGAAUGGCUCCCUUCUCUUGUUAAAGCUACGAGAGAUGGACAAUGGAGUCUAUAAAGCAACAGUUGACCUGGUGCAGGAUAAAGCUAGGACAACUUUGCUUGAAGUUAUCAAGCCUGUGCCCCAGCCUGAGCUCCAAUACAGUUCAAGCCUGGCAGGUUCACCCAUCGAGUUGGUCUGUGUCCUGCCGAAAGGAAGAGUGGAUGUCAUCUCUUGGAAGAAGGAGGGACAUCUUCUCCCCCUAGAAAGAUGCUAUCAGCUCUCUGAAAACAACACUGUGCUGCGGAUUGCAAAAGGGGAGAAGGCAGACUGCGGCUCCUACUCCUGCAAUGUCAGCAAUGAGAUAAGCUGGAAGGAAGCAGUGCUGAACCUGACUGUAGUGGGUCUCCCGCGCCCUCUACGCUAUGCUCAGAUAAUGGCUGCUGCUGCGCUGAUGUUUGCUGCGGGGUCUGUGGUAGACUUCAUUGUCCUGCUCUGUCAGCCAGAUAAGCAAGGAUUUGGAAAGAAAGUGAGGAGAUGGAUGACUCUGUGCAUCCAAGGACUGGUGUGUGUCUCCUCUCUUCUCCUGCUCACCACCUCUAUUUUCUGGGUGCAACAAGAAGGUCCUUCUGCUGCCUUCAUACUGCUCGGGCUUUUCCUCUUUGCUACAAUAAUGAUGACUGUCCUCCAAACAGUAACACUGGUGUGCAGACCAGCAGCUCUCAUCUAUUUCAAGACCAAAAAAUGGUACUGCGUCAUCCUGAACACUGCAGCCCCCACAGCAGUGAUCGUCCUUGUGCUGUUCACCAGCCUCCUGCUCCAAAAUAUCCAACGGCUCCAUGAGCGAGGCUGCUCGGAGCCCAUUAAUCUGAUGCUCAUCUUCAUCCUUACUGCUGCGGUAGCCCUGUUCAUGCCGCUGGUCUUCUUCCUAUGCUAUCACAAGAGUGUAAAGAAGGAGAGGAAGAUGGAAAAUGUGCAAGUCGUCCGUGUCACAGGGGGCAUGGCAACCUUGGUACAGGAAGAACUCUGAGGACAAAAUCAGGAAGAGGAAUAUGAAGUCAUCUGUCCAACAGCCAGAAAGCUCUGCUCACACACCCCUGGCAGCAGGAAGGAGCCCCAGGGAGCUGGAAAAAUGCCAUUUAUAACAAGGCAUCUGUAAGCUGCUGUUGUACCCUAGCACUAUCUAGGCAAUGUUUUUGUAAAAGCACUUCAUAAAAUGUUACCACUCUGGUCGCCUCACCAUGGCUCCAGGUCACACCUGCCUAUAAGACUUGUUUUUUGUUCCCAGCCACUGAGCAGUGAGGGGGGCUGCAGAGCCUAGAAUAAAGCCACGUCGAGAUCUUGCGGCUGCAUCAGAGAUCGAUGCGUGCACGCAACUGCAGCCAGCUCUUUAAACGAGACUUGCGAACUACCGCCGCCGCCGCCCUGCGGGCAUCGCCCAGCCCCGCGGACGCACGUCUGGCUGGAUCCAGCACCCUCCCUCACAGCUCUGCCCCCUGUUGCAUUUAGGGCACAGGGGAUCAAUUUGCAGCACCGAUACAGCCAGAGUCCAGCUGUGGCGGAGCAGCCAGGACGGAAAACCCAGGGUUGAGCUGAACUGAAACGGGGCUCCCGGGGCCAUGAGCAGCUUGAACAAAAGCCUAAACAGUGAAGCCCCCCUCCCUAGGCUCCCAGAGGAUAGGGCUGGCCCCUGGGUGGCAUUUAAGCCUCAGUGAGCAACUACUCGGCUCAAAGUUGCUACUAGAAGCAGUCAUAAACCCACAAAAAUCUGUAUGAAGUCUCAGUGCUUCACCAGCAUAAUGCCCUGGUUGAAAAUAAAAUGCCAGUAAAGCACAGCUUGUUUAGGAUGCUGAUCAAGAGGAGCAAUAAAAGUGUUCAAAAUUAAAACCAAUGCUCUGCAUUACAGCAAACCCAUGUGUUCCCCAAGGGAAAGUAUGUCUCUAGGGCAGAGAGGCCCCAGCAGCCCACCCAGGCCAGAGCGGUGCUUACCACAAGCUGCCUGCUCUGCUCCGGGCGCCACAUUCAAGGCAGAAGCUCCGUUCCGGGAUCAAGGCUCCGGACAAAUGGCACACUGCCUUGCGGCACUUGAGAGACACAGGACUUAAAAGCUUUUCUGCCUGUGGAGUUGUGCUUGGUUAAUACGUACAGGGGCAAAAGCAGGCUCCUGGCCGCAGCCUUGUAAAUACUUUCCUGCCUCUGAGGUGAGCGGUGAGCCAGCAGUUCUUGAAGUACCCUGAACCUCUCCUGCUUAAACUAAUUGAGCAGUGACAUCUUUUACAAGGGUUUGAAAGGCCUAUAUAUACAAAUGGCAAAAUCAUAUUGGUUGCUUAUCUGCAUCGAGCUAUUUAAAAUUCACCCCAAAGCCAUUUGCUGUAAGAACAUCCCAAACUCCAGGCUCCUCACGGAAGGAGCGAAGCUGCCCAAACAAGGCAGAGGACGCAGAUAACAUGACCGCUGCAGAACAGCGUAGCCAGCAACCACCACCUUGGGCAUGCUGCAGCGGGAAGCAGCGCCGUUUGGACAGGUGGCUGCAUGUCAUCUUCUGCCAUGAGGUGCAACCCACCGGUUCAUUCUGUAGCCUGUGCAGGAACCCUGGCUCCCUGCAACAGGGAGCGAAGUAAAAUGUACACAUACAAACUGCCAAGCUCAGGACUACAAUUCCUUACAAAUCUCUGCAUUUGGUACCUCUGUCGUACCAGUUUUCUUGUAUACCAUAUGCAGAAACGAAUCAGGCCUUUUCAAAGUUAAAGGCAAAGAGAAAAAAAAUACACAGUUAUAACAAACCAUUCCCUACCUGAUGCUAUGGUUGUCCCUCCUCUCAUAUGCAUGUUCCUAGCCUGCUGCGGUUUCUGCAGGCUUUAGAUACCGGAGGGUGAUUUAUUUCCCGUAUCUGAAGAUCACAAUAUACACUGGAAUAACGUAUGCACUUUUAUUAGCAGUAAAAGCCCAUUAAAAAACAACUUGUCUAGAAUGAUUUACAGACAAUUCUCAAAAAAGUCAAAAAAAUGUAUUUUGUCAAACAUUUGACUGUAUUUGUUCGCAAGUAAAAUAGGGAACAAUCCAUAUUACAGCUUAAAACCAAAUUUGUUUUAAUCCAUGCAAUCUGCUUCACUUCCUUUAAUAAUUUAAUUGUAACAUAAUUACAGGCUGAGAGAUGGCA